Molecule: ribosomal RNA, 253 nt
Filed under: uncultured bacterium
Lineage: Bacteria
Description: partial 16S ribosomal RNA
Rfam family: Bacterial small subunit ribosomal RNA
Source: RNAcentral
UACGGGGGGAGCAAGCGUUGUUCGGAUUCAUUGGGCGUAAAGGGUGCGUAGGCGGCGCGGUAAGUCGGGUGUGAAAUCUCGGAGCUUAACUCCGAAACUGCAUUCGAUACUGCCGUGCUUGAGGACUGGAGAGGAGACUGGAAUUUACGGUGUAGCGGUGAAAUGCGUAGAUAUCGUGAGGAAGACCAGUGGCGAAGGCGGAUCUCUGGACAGUUCCUGACGCUGAGGCGCGAAGGCCAGGGGAGCAAACGGG